Molecule: ribosomal RNA, 465 nt
Filed under: Vreelandella stevensii
Lineage: Bacteria; Pseudomonadati; Pseudomonadota; Gammaproteobacteria; Oceanospirillales; Halomonadaceae
Description: partial 16S ribosomal RNA
Rfam family: Bacterial small subunit ribosomal RNA
Source: RNAcentral
CCUACGGGGUGCAGCAGUGGGGAAUAUUGGACAAUGGGCGAAAGCCUGAUCCAGCCAUGCCGCGUGUGUGAAGAAGGCCUUCGGGUUGUAAAGCACUUUCAGUGGGGAAGAAAGCCUUGGGGCUAAUACCCUCGAGGAAGGACAUCACCCACAGAAGAAGCACCGGCUAACUCCGUGCCAGCAGCCGCGGUAAUACGGAGGGUGCGAGCGUUAAUCGGAAUUACUGGGCGUAAAGCGCGCGUAGGCGGUCUGAUAAGCCAGUUGUGAAAGCCCCGGGCUCAACCUGGGAACGGCAUCCGGAACUGUCAGGCUAGAGUGCAGGAGAGGAAGGUAGAAUUCCCGGUGUAGCGGUGAAAUGCGUAGAGAUCGGGAGGAAUACCAGUGGCGAAGGCGGCCUUCUGGACUGACACUGACGCUGAGGUGCGAAAGCGUGGGUAGCAAACAGGAUUAGAUACCCCAGUAGUC